RNAcentral lists this ribosomal RNA (253 nucleotides) under uncultured bacterium. RNAcentral's name for it is "partial 16S ribosomal RNA". It matches the Rfam family "Bacterial small subunit ribosomal RNA", at positions 524 to 776 of the family's 1533-position model. The record is from RNAcentral.
UACGGAGGGGGUUAGCGUUGUUCGGAAUGACUGGGCGUAAAGCGUGCGCAGGCGGUUUUGUAAGUCUGACGUGAAAUCCCCGGGCUCAACCUGGGAAUUGCGUUGGAGACUGCAAGGCUAGAAUCUGGCAGAGGGGGGUAGAAUUCCACGUGUAGCAGUGAAAUGCGUAGAGAUGUGGAGGAACACCGAUGGCGAAGGCAGCCCCCUGGGUCAAGAUUGACGCUCAUGCACGAAAGCGUGGGGAGCGAACAGG